GAUGGCUCUCACCACCUCUACCCCUUCCUCACUGACAAUCUCUCCUCUCCUUCCUCUUCAUCUAUUUUUUCCUCAUCUUCCUCCUUUAAUCUCACCCACGACCUCUCUUUCUCCUUUCUCUUUCUCCUUAACAAUUUCUCCUCCGCCUCCUCCUCCUCCUCAUCCACAUUCUUCUCCUCCAAGCCCACUUGUGAGCCCUCUCCCUCCAUUUAUGGUGGCUCUCUCUACUCCGUCUACCUCAUCGAUGAAGCCUCCUUCCCCUUCUCCCUCUUCCAUUUCUCCUCCUCCUCCAAGCCCACUCACUCCUCCAUCCUUAUCUCCUCUUUUUCUACCUCCAUCCCUUCCUCGCUAAUAACCCC
This 359-nucleotide long non-coding RNA is filed under the name Elaeis guineensis (African oil palm). Its description in RNAcentral is "long non-coding RNA (EGUI_LNC075914)". Lineage: Eukaryota; Viridiplantae; Streptophyta; Magnoliopsida; Arecales; Arecaceae. The record is from RNAcentral.